CUUCCAGUAGCACCUUAGAGACCAACUAAGUUUGUUAUUGGUAUGAGUUUUCGUGUGCAUGCACACUUCUUCACGAAAGCUCAUACCAAUAACAAACUUAGAUGGUCUCUAAGGUGCUACUGGAAG
Podarcis lilfordi (Lilford's wall lizard) is the source of this 126-nucleotide non-coding RNA. The record is from the annotation of a GenBank genome assembly. NCBI's taxonomy places the organism in Eukaryota, Metazoa, Chordata, Lepidosauria, Squamata, Lacertidae.